Molecule: ribosomal RNA, 361 nt
Filed under: Meiacanthus grammistes (striped poison-fang blenny)
Lineage: Eukaryota; Metazoa; Chordata; Actinopteri; Blenniiformes; Blenniidae
Description: partial 12S ribosomal RNA
Rfam family: Bacterial small subunit ribosomal RNA
Source: RNAcentral
CCCCUUCUUGCUUUUACCGUCUAUAUACCGCCGUCGUCAGCUCACCCUGUGAAGGCCUCAUAGUAAGCACAACUAGAAACUACCUUAAAACGUCAGGUCGAGGUGUAGCAAAUGAAGGGGGAAGAAAUGGGCUACAUUUCCUACUUUAGGAUAUACGGACUGUAUGCUGAAACACAUACUACAAAGGAGGAUUUAGUAGUAAAUAGAAAAUAGAGAGUUCUAUUGAAACCGGCCCUUAAGCGCGCACACACCGCCCGUCACUCUCUUCUAACCAAAAUUUUUUAUACAUAAAACACUUCAAGGGCCCAGAGGAGAUAAGUCGUAACAUGGUAAGUGUACCGGAAGGUGUACUUGGAAAAAA